UACGGAGGGUGCAAGCGUUGUCCGGAUUUAUUGGGUUUAAAGGGUGCGUAGGCGGUCUUUUAAGUCAGUGGUGAAAUCCUCCAGCUUAACUGGAGAACUGCCAUUGAUACUGGGAGACUUGAGUACAGACGAGGUAGGCGGAAUUGACAGUGUAGCGGUGAAAUGCAUAGAUAUUGUCAAGAACACCGAUUGCGAAGGCAGCUUACUAGACUGUAACUGACGCUGAGGCACGAAAGCAUGGGGAGCGAACAGG
This 253-nucleotide ribosomal RNA is filed under the name uncultured bacterium. RNAcentral describes it as "partial 16S ribosomal RNA". It matches the Rfam family "Bacterial small subunit ribosomal RNA", at positions 524 to 776 of the family's 1533-position model. The record is from RNAcentral.